UACGUAGGGGGCAAGCGUUGUCCGGAAUCAUUGGGCGUAAAGAGCGUGUAGGCGGCCAGAAAAGUCCGCUGUGAAAACUCGAGGCUCAACUUCGAGCUGUCGGUGGAAACUUUCUGGCUAGAGUCCGGAAGAGGAGAAUGGAAUUCCUGGUGUAGCGGUGAAAUGCGCAGAUAUCAGGAAGAACACCCGUGGCGAAGGCGAGUCUCUGGACAUUUCCUGACGCUGAGGCACGAAAGCCAGGGGAGCAAACGGG
RNAcentral lists this ribosomal RNA (253 nucleotides) under uncultured bacterium. RNAcentral's name for it is "partial 16S ribosomal RNA". It matches the Rfam family "Bacterial small subunit ribosomal RNA", at positions 524 to 776 of the family's 1533-position model. The record is from RNAcentral.